CAGUCGCCGCGGUAAAACAGAGGCCUCAAGCGUUGUUCGGAUUCAUUGGGCGUAAAGGGUGCGUAGGUGGCUUGGUAAGUUGAAGGUGAAAUCUCGGGGCUUAACCCCGAAACUGCCUUCAAUACUGCUAGGCUCGAGGACUGUAGAGGAGAAUGGAAUUCACGGUGUAGCAGUGAAAUGCGUAGAGAUCGGAAGGAACAUCUGUGGCGAAGGCGACUAUCUGGGCCAUUACUGACACUGAGGCACGAAAGCGUGGGGAGCAAACAGGAUUAGAUACCCGUGUAGUCCCUGUCUCUUAUAA
RNAcentral lists this ribosomal RNA (301 nucleotides) under uncultured bacterium. Its description in RNAcentral is "partial 16S ribosomal RNA". It matches the Rfam family "Bacterial small subunit ribosomal RNA", at positions 509 to 809 of the family's 1533-position model. The record is from RNAcentral.